Molecule: long non-coding RNA, 2254 nt
Organism: Clupea harengus (Atlantic herring)
Lineage: Eukaryota; Metazoa; Chordata; Actinopteri; Clupeiformes; Clupeidae
Source: Ensembl
AAGGCCAGGCUGCGUUUGGGUGCGAGAGCCAGGCCAGGGGGGUGUCCAGAGCAGACGCCGCACCAGUCUGGGUAUAAAAGCCCCAGGCCGGUGGGGGGCUGUGCCGAUCACACCGACGUCCCGCACCCUUUCUGUGUUCGCGUCCACGUUGUUCCUUAAAAAACAACAUUUUGCAACGUUUUGUUUGGUUUUGAUUUUAAUUUUUUUUUAUAUAUCUCUGAGAGUGUAUAAUUGGCACCGACUGAUGUUGAGGUUGAGGGUUGCGGCUGUUUUUGACCUGUGGACGUAGGUUGUGGCGUUUGACCUCUGUGGCGCCGGCUCAAGUGUGUUUUGGCACUGAUAUACCUGCUUUGUGAGGACCUCUGGAGUGAGGAGUGUGUGCUGUUAAAGAGUGGAAUACAGGGACGGUGCGAAGAAGGACUGAGCAAGGGAAAGAGAUGGAGACGGGGACAGAUAGUUACUCACGGGGAACAGAAUGCUGCAUGACACUGUCUCUCUCCUCCCUUUCUUUCUUUCUUUCUUUCUUUCUUUGUACAUCUUUCGUUGCUUCUCUUUUUUCUGAUUCUCUGAGUGUUCUCACUAACACCUAAAGGUUUGUUCCUAGAUCAUUUCUGUACCUUUCCUUUCCCUCCUUUCUCUGUAUUUCUCUUUUGCUAACUCUCGCACGUUCUAACCUUAAUUUUCUCUCUUUAACUCAGUCCAUCUCCCCUCCUCCCUCUACUCCUUCUACCCCCCCCUCCUCCUCCUCCUCCUCCUCCUUUCCCUCUCUCUCUUUGGCUCUAUCAGCACACCGUUCUCACUCCUCCUUCUAUUUCAGUCCUGCUCAGCAGAGACUCAGCAGAGGAACUUUGGACAGGUGGGGAGGAGUGAGCGGGGAGGGAAGGAGGGAGGGACGCUGUGCAGGCGGGUUGACGCAUGUCCAUUCAGACAUUCUCGCCGUCUUUCUCUUCCUUUCAUCGCUGCCGCCAGAGCUUUCAUUUUAUUUUGAUGCCAAGUUCUUGUUAUUUGCCCUGCCCUCAUGUGGGCUCUCUCUUGCAAUCAAGAUUUUUUUUCUUAAGAAAGAAAAACUGAGUUCUUGCUGUCCCACUUCAACGAGAGACAAGGAAGCACCAUCAUUUCUUUCCUCUCCUCCUUUCCUCUCCCUAUUUCAGCCUCCCAUCUCUCUCUUCAUCUCCUCUCCUCUCUUUUCCUGUCCUCUCUGCAUCCUUAAACUCAAAUGCUGAAUCAGCUGAAGACGAACGAACGCUCUGCACCCCAACCCCCCUCCCAUGCCCCAUCCUCACCCCCACCCUUCCCGAUUCACGCAAACCGUCGCACCCCAUGGAGCACCAUCAGUCCAGCAUGUUGAAACCCCCCCCUUCCUGGGCUCAAUGCCAGCCAUGCUUCUCUCCAGACUCCAACUCCCAGCAACCCCAGACUCACUCAAAAAUGCUUUGCUAAAGCUGGUAAAAUGGAACCAAAUCAACUGUUCAAUGGAUUUGGUCCCCUUCAACCAGCUGUAGCUGCGCAUUGAUCACCCCAGAGGCACCAUCAGGCUGGAACUGGCCAACACCCAGAACUCACUGGCUCAGGAACAGUUCUGAUCCGAUGCUCUUUUGCACGGAAGGACCAGGCCGCGGACGGAACCUACUGAUUCAGGAAAUAGAUCAACGGCGGCAGCCAAGCAGAGAAAUUGUAAUCCCCCUCAAGCGAUCUAAAUAGCCCUAGUCCACAUCGACAUGACACAAUACAACAGUCACUCUCGUCAUUAACACGGUGCAGCUUUUGUCCCAGACACAGCUCUCUAUGUAACCUCUGCAGGUGAGUGUCGGCUUCAUUUCAUUAAUUGCUGCCAGUGUUCACACACACACCCCACACACACACACACACACACACACACACACACACACAGACAGACAGACAGACAGACAGACAGACAGACAGACAGACAGACAGACAGACACACACACGCACACACACACACAGACAGACACACACACACACACACACAGAGAGAGACAGACACACACACACACAGAGACAGACAGACACACACACACACACACACAUGCUAGACUGUAUCAAUGUCUUGUAUGUAUUCACCCACCAUCAGUACCAUUCGACUAGGGUCUUAUCAUUCUUUAUGGCGAGGGAUUGAUUUUUUGUCUCCCGUGUCAGCAAGGAAAAGAGGGGGAUGUGCUUGUAUAUAUAUCGGUGUGUGUGUGUGUGUGUGUGUGUGUGUGUGUGUGUGUGUGUGUGUGUGUGUGUGUGUGUG